CACAAUAUUUCAGUUAAGGUAGUAUCCUCAAGGAUUGUGGGAUCUAAGUAAAAUUGUCUUUACUUUGGUCAAUCUUUCUGUGGUAACCUUACUCUAAUCAAGAUAUAAAGCAGUUGGUGUUAUGAAAGCUUGCCAAAAUCUCACAAUUGAACCUACCAUUUAUGCUGAUGGAAAAUGAAGUGCACAGUUUGAACACAUUCUCCUGGUAUUACAUUAUUAUUCAUUAUUUUUGGUAUCUAAAUGAUUUAACGGUGUAUCUCUUUAUUGCAUUCUAUCUCAGAUUGAAUCUAUAUAGUUUCUUGAUGAAUUGGUCUAUUGCAACUGAAACAUUUUAUUUAACUCGAGAACUCGUCCGCUGAUCCAUUAUUGCAUUUCAAUCUCAUCAAGUGAAUUGAUAUGAGUCUGACGACAUUUCUUCCAAGCCGUCAGAGAUGUAGUAAGCUACCAGAAAAAGGUGUCAAGAAGAACAGUGGAGAAGAGUUGUUGGAUGAGAGUGACGACAUUCUCAAUAUGUCAUCACAAGUGUGGUAAGCCAUCAGAAUAUGCCAUCAGAGUGAGGCAGAACACGGUGAAAUAAGUUGAAGGUCUGACGACAUUUGCUACAUGCCGUCACAAGUGUGGUAAGCCAUCAUAGGACAUCAUCAGAGUGAGGUAGAGUGAGGCAGAACAUGUAAAGUUGGCAUGACUUCUGACGACAUAUCUGAGACACCGUCAGAAGUCUGAUGACCAACACCAAUAUCGCGUCACCUAAAUCCGAGCCCAGCUGUGAUUUUGUUAUUUUAUUUCCUUAAUUAGGCUUUAGUAUAAAUAGCAGUUUUUAGGGUUUUUAAGAAAAGAAGUUUUCAUUAUUCAGAAUAGGAAUUUUGGAGGGAGAAACACGUAUAUUGUUGUUUUUUGCUAAUUAUUUUUAGUUUCAUUCUUAUCAACUAUUCUUAGGUUUCUAACUUGGGAUUUAAUUGAAGAAAUUAUUUGUUGUUUUCC
This is a long non-coding RNA of Capsicum annuum, 981 nucleotides long. RefSeq lists it as uncharacterized. NCBI's taxonomy places the organism in Eukaryota, Viridiplantae, Streptophyta, Magnoliopsida, Solanales, Solanaceae. The transcript has 2 exons. The record is from RefSeq and is a predicted model, not a curated record.